Molecule: ribosomal RNA, 462 nt
Filed under: uncultured bacterium
Lineage: Bacteria
Description: partial 16S ribosomal RNA
Rfam family: Bacterial small subunit ribosomal RNA
Source: RNAcentral
GACGAACGCUGGCGGCGUGCUUAACACAUGCAAGUCGAGCGACGCUCUUCCUUCGGGGAGAUGACGGAGCGGCGAACGGGUGAGUAACACGUGGGCAACCUGCCCCUAGCUCUGGGACAACACCGGGAAACCGGUGCUAAUACCGGAUACGACAUCGAGCGGCAUCUCUCGAUGUGGAAAGGUUUUUCGGCUAGGGAUGGGCCCGGGGCCUAUCAGCUUGUUGGUGGGGUAAUGGCCCACCAAGGCGACGACGGGUAGCCGGCCUGAGAGGGCGACCGGCCACACUGGGACUGAGACACGGCCCAGAAUCCUACGGGAGGGAGCAGUGGGGAAUAUUGCGCAAUGGGCGAAAGCCUGACGCAGCCACGCCGCGUGAGGGAUGACGGCCUUCGGGGUGUAAACCUCUUUCAGCAGGGACGAAUUCAGACGGUACCUGCAGAAGAAGCACCGGCCAACUACGUG